RNAcentral lists this ribosomal RNA (253 nucleotides) under uncultured bacterium. RNAcentral describes it as "partial 16S ribosomal RNA". It matches the Rfam family "Bacterial small subunit ribosomal RNA", at positions 524 to 776 of the family's 1533-position model. The record is from RNAcentral.
UACGUAGGGGGCAAGCGUUGUCCGGAAUCAUUGGGCGUAAAGCGCGCGUAGGCGGCCCGAUAAGUCCGCUGUCAAAGUCCAGGGCUCAACCCUGGGAUGCGGGUGGAUACUGCCGGGCUCGAGUCCGGAAGAGGCGAGUGGAAUUCCCGGUGUAGCGGUGAAAUGCGCAGAUAUCGGGAGGAACACCAAUGGCGAAGGCAGCUCGCUGGGACGUGACUGACGCUGAGACGCGAAAGCGUGGGGAGCAAACAGG